Non-coding RNA from Zonotrichia albicollis (white-throated sparrow), 2873 nucleotides. NCBI's taxonomy places the organism in Eukaryota, Metazoa, Chordata, Aves, Passeriformes, Passerellidae. The record is from RefSeq and is a predicted model, not a curated record.
ACCCCAAAAUCCUCAGCACAAGAGAAAGAGGUACAGAGAGAGAAUGGAGCAAGGCAGGUCCCAGAGCCCUGGUUGUGCUGCCUGGUGUGUCCCAGCAGUGUCAGCUGCCUUGGAGCAGCACCUCAGCUACUUCUCCUGCUCUCUGAAGACUUGUGUGAAAUGACCAAGAUACAAAGGGCCAGGGCUGCUCCUGGAAGAGGAAAAGCCUAUUGGUGUUGCCUGAAUGAAGGGGCUGAGUCUCUGCAUUCAUAUCCUGGGAAAGCAGUUGAGAUUGAUCCUGGUUUGGUCACCCACUGAUGAGCUAAUUUUAACACCAACCAUGAACAUCUCACCGCUGGAAUUGCCGUGUGCCCGCUUGUGUGAGAGAGCAAAUCACUCCAGCAGUAGCGUGGAUCGUUCUUCUGCACCCAUUGUUAUGGAAAUCACCUUAGAGACUGUUGCUCCAGCAAACAUUUUUAGAAGCACCAGUGAGUUGCGCAACAGGAAAAGUGCUCGGAGUUUACUUCUCAUGCUCCUCAUCACUGCCUGUUCUGGAGCAGGACCAGCUCUCCAGCCUGCGCCCAGGAGCCUCCUGCAGCCUCAGCUGAUGGAAGGGGAAAAGCACAGAUCCAGUGACCUUUGUUUGCCUCACUGCUGCUCACAGUCCCUGCCUGACAUUUGAGGAGUGCUCUUAAAAAAACCUACCAUUUCUGGCACACUGGCCCUGCUGCUGAAGAGCUGUUCCUCUUCCACCUCCUUCACCUACUGGGAUUAAAAGCUACAGGUAAUGCUGGGGAGUAAAUGAAAGGCUUUCCACGAGGAAAUAAGCUAAAACAGUAAACAAAAGGCUGAUUCUUAGAAGCAAAACAACUGAAGGUGUCACCAGGAAAACAUGGUGACGAAUCUCUCUGGUCCUCGGAAGUUGCCUUACAUGUGUUGGAAAUUACCUUGUGACUCAACCAGCUCAGUGUGUCUGGUGCCAGUGUGCUGAAAGCUUUUAGCUGACCUCAAUACCCAAGGUUUUCAAGGAAAUAAUGUUUCCCAUGAGAAAUGUCACCACCAGAGCCAAGCCUUUCCUGAGAAAAGCCUGGCUUAGGUGGGUGAUUUCUCCUGCUCUGGGAGCAGCCUCCCUGAGGAGCUGAGCUCCCACUGCUGUGGCCCUGUGGGCACGCCCAGAGCUCUGCUCUCACUCCUCUGGCAGGGGGGUCUCCAAUGCAAGGUCCAAGUAAAAGCCUUUUAAUCAUCCUGCAGCCAUCUCCUGAGAGUGCUCCUCUUCCCUGCUGCCCUUCUCCCUCCAGAGUCUGCCUUCUUACGCAGAGCCAGUGACUCAUUCCUGGGAUGUCUUUGCUGAAUUUGCCUGGUCACCUCCUUCCCUGAGCGCUGCUUCUUGCUUGUCACAUGGUGAGUGAAGGAGGACAGGCACAGUGUGUGCUGGGAUGGCACCAGCUGCUGGCAGGAUCCCCCUCUCCUCGUGCCCUGGGUGCCCCUAGGCUGGUGCCCUCUCUGUUCUGGGCAGAAGGGAAGGGAUGUGUGUCUCCAAUUCCAUCCUUUUCUCCAAGAUCCACCACCUGAGCCAUGAAAUGCUGUGAGCUCUGCCUGCUCCCCUGGCUUUGCAGGUUCCAGGCUGCCAUUCACAAGGACCUCAGUGUGCAAAGAGGAGCUUUGUGAAGUCCAGCAAAGGGAGUAGGAGCUCCUGCCCCCAAGGAGGAAUGACCCCACUCACCUGUGCAAUGACCCAGUACAAACUGGGGACCAGCUGGCUGGAAAACAGCUGUGCAGGUAGAGACCUGGGAGGGCCUGGUGGAUAAUGAGCUGACCAUGAGCCGGUGGUGCCUUCUCACAAUCAGCAACAUCAUGAGCUGGAUUAAGAAGAUCAUUGCCAGCAGGCCAAGGGAGAAGGAGGAAGGAGGUUUUGAUUCAUCCUUUUGGAUCAAGCAGUGCUGCCAGAAACUGGAUUGGCACAUUGUGAGUGCUUCAGGUACUUCUUGCCAACUCUGAGGUCCAGCAGAGUCCUGCAUGAAGGAUCUUAAACCCCAGUUCCAGGCUUGGAAAGCAGGACACAGACAGAGGGAAGGAACCUGCCCAGCAUCACACAAUUAAGCCAGUGCUGGAUUGGGAAGUGACUUGACUCUUCCCUGAGACCUGGUUCAGUUCCCUCUAUGCUGGGUCCUGUUCUUGUAGGUCAUAUAUGUGUAUUCAAAAGUUGUGAAUGUACCCAAGAGCCUCAGGCUGGCCAAAGGGGUGCUUUGUGUUCAAAAUAAAGUCCUGUUUCCUGGAAACUAAACUUUUUUGGGGAAAAAAGAGCAGGGCUCAGCUGAACAUUGCUAACACUGUGAGGAAAAUAGAAGUUGUUUUUUGAUGCUCUGAAAGAGGAACCAGCCCCUUCCUCCUGAAAUGCUGCAUGGAAAUGGAUUCUUGGGUGUUGUUUAGUUUUAUUUUAACUGUAGUGAGGGGUUGCAAAACCAGAGAAUUUGACACAAGGAAAAAACCUCUGGAACCAGGGCAUCUUCACAGAUGUCCAGCAGAAGUUCUCCAUGAGAGAGCAGCGCUGCCACAGCACAGGUGUGAGAGCUCAAAGCAGGGCAUGAGCCUGGGCUGCCUGUCCAUCCAUAGCCACAAAAUACACUCCAACCAGAACAACUGCCUGAAUGAAAAGCAGCAUUGAAGGGAACCUGUACCGGCUGGGAGACCUGCGCAGCUCAUUGGAGUAAAAGGGUAUGAACAAUGAUUGACUUUAACACCACCCAUGGUGAGAAGCAGCAGCACACUGCAACUUGCUGCCCCAGUGUCUGUGUUGGCUGAGGGUUUAACUGGUGCAUGUUGGGGUUUCACUGAUAGCCAGGGCUGUGGGGCACUGCCACGGGGCUGGGGCUGCCUCUGGGCUCUGGUGUAAA